GCUGAUUUGGCCGAGUGGUCUAAGGCGAUGGUUUUAAGUUAUGUAGCGCGUGUACAAAAACUAUCACCAUUAUCGAAAGAUGCGUGAGUUCGAACCUCACAGUCAGCA
This 108-nucleotide transfer RNA is filed under the name Erysiphe necator (grape powdery mildew). It matches the Rfam family "tRNA". Rfam says of the family: Transfer RNA (tRNA) molecules are approximately 80 nucleotides in length. Their secondary structure includes four short double-helical elements and three loops (D, anti-codon, and T loops). Lineage: Eukaryota; Fungi; Ascomycota; Leotiomycetes; Helotiales; Erysiphaceae. The record is from Rfam by way of RNAcentral.